Molecule: ribosomal RNA, 2923 nt
Filed under: Klebsiella pneumoniae
Lineage: Bacteria; Pseudomonadati; Pseudomonadota; Gammaproteobacteria; Enterobacterales; Enterobacteriaceae
Description: bacterial LSU rRNA
Rfam family: Bacterial large subunit ribosomal RNA
Source: RNAcentral
GGGUUGUGAGGUUAAGCGACUAAGCGUACACGGUGGAUGCCCUGGCAGUCAGAGGCGAUGAAGGACGUGCUAAUCUGCGAAAAGCGUCGGUAAGGUGAUAUGAACCGUUACAGCCGGCGAUGUCCGAAUGGGGAAACCCAGUGCAAUUCGUUGCACUAUCGUUAACUGAAUACAUAGGUUAACGAGGCGAACCGGGGGAACUGAAACAUCUAAGUACCCCGAGGAAAAGAAAUCAACCGAGAUUCCCCCAGUAGCGGCGAGCGAACGGGGAGCAGCCCAGAGUCUGAAUCAGCUUGUGUGUUAGUGGAACGGUCUGGAAAGUCCGACGGUACAGGGUGAUAGUCCCGUACACCAAAAUGCACAGGCUGUGAACUCGAAGAGUAGGGCGGGACACGUGGUAUCCUGUCUGAAUAUGGGGGGACCAUCCUCCAAGGCUAAAUACUCCUGACUGACCGAUAGUGAACCAGUACCGUGAGGGAAAGGCGAAAAGAACCCCGGCGAGGGGAGUGAAAAAGAACCUGAAACCGUGUACGUACAAGCAGUGGGAGCACCUUCGGGUGUGACUGCGUACCUUUUGUAUAAUGGGUCAGCGACUUAUAUUCUGUAGCAAGGUUAACCGUAUAGGGGAGCCGCAGGGAAACCGAGUCUUAACUGGGCGUUAAGUUGCAGGGUAUAGACCCGAAACCCGGUGAUCUAGCCAUGGGCAGGUUGAAGGUUGGGUAACACUAACUGGAGGACCGAACCGACUAAUGUUGAAAAAUUAGCGGAUGACUUGUGGCUGGGGGUGAAAGGCCAAUCAAACCGGGAGAUAGCUGGUUCUCCCCGAAAGCUAUUUAGGUAGCGCCUCGUGAAUUCAUCUUCGGGGGUAGAGCACUGUUUCGGCUAGGGGGUCAUCCCGACUUACCAACCCGAUGCAAACUACGAAUACCGAAGAAUGUUAUCACGGGAGACACACGGCGGGUGCUAACGUCCGUCGUGAAGAGGGAAACAACCCAGACCGCCAGCUAAGGUCCCAAAGUCAUGGUUAAGUGGGAAACGAUGUGGGAAGGCACAGACAGCCAGGAUGUUGGCUUAGAAGCAGCCAUCAUUUAAAGAAAGCGUAAUAGCUCACUGGUCGAGUCGGCCUGCGCGGAAGAUGUAACGGGGCUAAACCAUGCACCGAAGCUGCGGCAGCGACACUAUGUGUUGUUGGGUAGGGGAGCGUUCUGUAAGCCUGCGAAGGUGACCUGUGAGGGUUGCUGGAGGUAUCAGAAGUGCGAAUGCUGACAUAAGUAACGAUAAAGCGGGUGAAAAGCCCGCUCGCCGGAAGACCAAGGGUUCCUGUCCAACGUUAAUCGGGGCAGGGUGAGUCGACCCCUAAGGCGAGGCCGAAAGGCGUAGUCGAUGGGAAACAGGUUAAUAUUCCUGUACUUGGUGUUACUGCGAAGGGGGGACGGAGAAGGCUAUGUUAGCCGGGCGACGGUUGUCCCGGUUUAAGCAUGUAGGCUGGUUAUCCAGGCAAAUCCGGAUAAUCAAGGCUGAGGUGUGAUGACGAGGCACUACGGUGCUGAAGUAACAAAUGCCCUGCUUCCAGGAAAAGCCUCUAAGCAUCAGGUAACAUCAAAUCGUACCCCAAACCGACACAGGUGGUCAGGUAGAGAAUACCAAGGCGCUUGAGAGAACUCGGGUGAAGGAACUAGGCAAAAUGGUGCCGUAACUUCGGGAGAAGGCACGCUGGUGUGUAGGUGAAGUCCCUGCGGAUGGAGCUGAGACCAGUCGAAGAUACCAGCUGGCUGCAACUGUUUAUUAAAAACACAGCACUGUGCAAACACGAAAGUGGACGUAUACGGUGUGACGCCUGCCCGGUGCCGGAAGGUUAAUUGAUGGGGUUAUCCGUAAGGAGAAGCUCUUGAUCGAAGCCCCGGUAAACGGCGGCCGUAACUAUAACGGUCCUAAGGUAGCGAAAUUCCUUGUCGGGUAAGUUCCGACCUGCACGAAUGGCGUAAUGAUGGCCAGGCUGUCUCCACCCGAGACUCAGUGAAAUUGAACUCGCUGUGAAGAUGCAGUGUACCCGCGGCAAGACGGAAAGACCCCGUGAACCUUUACUAUAGCUUGACACUGAACAUUGAGCCUUGAUGUGUAGGAUAGGUGGGAGGCUUUGAAGCGUGGACGCCAGUCUGCGUGGAGCCGACCUUGAAAUACCACCCUUUAAUGUUUGAUGUUCUAACGUUGGCCCCUUACCGGGGUUGCGGACAGUGUCUGGUGGGUAGUUUGACUGGGGCGGUCUCCUCCCAAAGCGUAACGGAGGAGCACGAAGGUUAGCUAAUCCUGGUCGGACAUCAGGAGGUUAGUGCAAUGGCAUAAGCUAGCUUGACUGCGAGCGUGACGGCGCGAGCAGGUGCGAAAGCAGGUCAUAGUGAUCCGGUGGUUCUGAAUGGAAGGGCCAUCGCUCAACGGAUAAAAGGUACUCCGGGGAUAACAGGCUGAUACCGCCCAAGAGUUCAUAUCGACGGCGGUGUUUGGCACCUCGAUGUCGGCUCAUCACAUCCUGGGGCUGAAGUAGGUCCCAAGGGUAUGGCUGUUCGCCAUUUAAAGUGGUACGCGAGCUGGGUUUAGAACGUCGUGAGACAGUUCGGUCCCUAUCUGCCGUGGGCGCUGGAGAAUUGAGGGGGGCUGCUCCUAGUACGAGAGGACCGGAGUGGACGCAUCACUGGUGUUCGGGUUGUCAUGCCAAUGGCACUGCCCGGUAGCUAAAUGCGGAAGAGAUAAGUGCUGAAAGCAUCUAAGCACGAAACUUGCCCCGAGAUGAGUUCUCCCUGAGACUUUAAGUCUCCUGAAGGAACGUUAAAGACGAUGACGUUGAUAGGCCGGGUGUGUAAGCGCAGCGAUGCGUUGAGCUAACCGGUACUAAUGAACCGUGAGGCUUAACCUUACAACGCCGAAG